Molecule: ribosomal RNA, 537 nt
Filed under: uncultured bacterium
Lineage: Bacteria
Description: bacterial SSU rRNA
Rfam family: Bacterial small subunit ribosomal RNA
Source: RNAcentral
GACGAACGCUGGCGGCGUGCCUAAAACAUGCAAGUCGAACGCGAGGGCCCUUCGGGGCCUGGGAGUGGCGAACGGCGGAGUAAUACGUAAGCAACGUGCCCUAAAGCUCGGGAUAUACCGGGGAAACCCGGGGCAAUACCGGAUGUGGUCGGAGCCCGGCAUCGGGAGCCGAUUAAAUGGUUUUUCGCUUUAGGAGCGGCUUACGGCCUAUCAGCUAGUUGGUGGGGUAACGGCCUACCAAGGCAUCGACGGGUAACUGGUCUGAGAGGACGACCAGUCCGAGUGGGACUGAGACACGGCCCACACACCUACGGGUGGCAGCAGUUGGGAAUCUUGCACAAUGGGGGCAACCCUGAUGCAGCGACGCCGCGUGGAGGACGAAGGAUCUAGGUCUGUAAACUCCUUUUGCCAGGAAAGACUUAGGACGGUACCUGGCGAAUAAGCUCCGGCUAACUACGUGCCAGCAGCCGCGGUAAUACGUAGGGAGCAAGCGUUGUCCGGAUUUACUGGGCGUAAAGGGCGCGUAGGCGGCCUGCC